This 250-nucleotide ribosomal RNA is filed under the name uncultured bacterium. RNAcentral's name for it is "partial 16S ribosomal RNA". It matches the Rfam family "Bacterial small subunit ribosomal RNA", at positions 524 to 773 of the family's 1533-position model. The record is from RNAcentral.
UACGAAGGGGGCUAGCGUUGCUCGGAAUUACUGGGCGUAAAGGGCGCGUAGGCGGAUACUUAAGUUAGAGGUGAAAGCCCAGGGCUCAACCCUGGAAUAGCCUUUAAUACUGGGUAUCUUGAGUUCGGGAGAGGUGAGUGGAACUCCGAGUGUAGAGGUGAAAUUCGUAGAUAUUCGGAAGAACACCAGUGGCGAAGGCGACUCACUGGCCCGAUACUGACGCUGAGGCGCGAAAGCGUGGGGAGCAAAC